UAGGGAAUCUUCGGCAAUGGGGGCAACCCUGACCGAGCAACGCCGCGUGAGUGAAGAAGGUUUUCGGAUCGUAAAGCUCUGUUGUAAGAGAAGAACGGAUGUGGGAGUGGAAAAUCCAUGUCGUGACGGUAUCUUACCAGAAAGGGACGGCUAACUACGUGCCAGCAGCCGCGGUAAUACGGAAGGUCCGGGCGUUAUCCGGAUUUAUUGGGUUUAAAGGGAGCGCAGGCGGAGGAUCAAGCCAGCCGUCAAAUAGCGGUGCUCAACACCGUCCAGCGGUUGGAACUGGUUCCCUUGAUUGCGGGAGAAGAAGGCGGAACUCGUGGUGUAGCGGUGAAAUGCAUAGAUAUCACGAAGAACUCCGAUUGCGAAGGCAGCCUUCCGGCCCGCCAAUGACGCUCAUGCUCGAAGGCGCGGGUAUCAAACAGGAUUAGAUACCCUGGUAGU
RNAcentral lists this ribosomal RNA (447 nucleotides) under uncultured Streptococcus sp. RNAcentral describes it as "bacterial SSU rRNA". It matches the Rfam family "Bacterial small subunit ribosomal RNA", at positions 355 to 794 of the family's 1533-position model. The record is from RNAcentral. Lineage: Bacteria; Bacillati; Bacillota; Bacilli; Lactobacillales; Streptococcaceae.